CCUACGGGAGGCAGCAGUGAGGAAUAUUGGUCAAUGGGCGAGAGCCUGAACCAGCCAAGUCGCGUGAGGGAGUACUGCCCUAUGGGUUGUAAACCUCUUUUGUCGGGGAGCAAAAGCCGGACGUGUCCGGCUGUGAGAGUACCCGAAGAAAAAGCAUCGGCUAACUCCGUGCCAGCAGCCGCGGUAAUACGGAGGAUGCGAGCGUUAUUCGGAUUUAUUGGGUUUAAAGGGUGCGCAGGCGGAUUUUUAAGUCAGCGGUAAAAUCGUGGGGCUCAACCCCAUCCAGCCGUUGAAACUGGGGAUCUAGAGUGUGCGAGAGGUAUGCGGAAUGCGUGGUGUAGCGGUGAAAUGCAUAGAUAUCACGCAGAACCCCGAUUGCGAAGGCAGCAUACCGGUGCACAACUGACGCUCAGGCACGAAAGCGUGGGUAUCGAACAGGAUUAGAUACCCUGGUAGUC
RNAcentral lists this ribosomal RNA (458 nucleotides) under uncultured bacterium. Its description in RNAcentral is "partial 16S ribosomal RNA". It matches the Rfam family "Bacterial small subunit ribosomal RNA", at positions 338 to 795 of the family's 1533-position model. The record is from RNAcentral.